UACGUAGGUGGCAAGCGUUGUCCGGAAUUAUUGGGCGUAAAGAGUGCGUAGGCGGUCUAUAAAGUCUGAUUUGAAAGCCCAUGGCUUAACCAUGGAGGGAGAUUGGAAACUGGUAGACUUGAGUACAGGAGAGGAAGGUGGAAUUCCACGUGUAGCGGUGAAAUGCGUAGAGAUGUGGAGGAACACCAGUGGCGAAGGCGGCCUUCUGGCCUGUGUCUGACGCUAAGGCACGAAAGCGUGGGUAGCAAAC
This 250-nucleotide ribosomal RNA is filed under the name uncultured bacterium. RNAcentral describes it as "partial 16S ribosomal RNA". It matches the Rfam family "Bacterial small subunit ribosomal RNA", at positions 524 to 773 of the family's 1533-position model. The record is from RNAcentral.